RNAcentral lists this ribosomal RNA (558 nucleotides) under Triticum aestivum (bread wheat). RNAcentral's name for it is "partial small subunit ribosomal RNA". Lineage: Eukaryota; Viridiplantae; Streptophyta; Magnoliopsida; Poales; Poaceae. The record is from RNAcentral.
AUGACAAUGCUUUCGAUAGUCUGUAUUAAAUUACUUUGUACGAAUGCACAUCUCGGCCGUCGGGUAGCUGAUCACCAUUUCAAAGUCUAUAUUUGUGGUUCAAGAAAUGGAAUUUCUAUUCUCGAUUCAGAGAAGACACUGAUUUGUUUACGAAAUGCUCUUCAUUUUAUAGGAUCUCCCAGUCGUCAAAAAGGUCGUUCCUUCUUUUUAAAGACCAAUCAUUUAUUUAUUUAUGAGAUAACGGAAGAAAUGGCGAGCUAUUUAAGAAGCUAUUUAAGAAAUGUGAAUUCUCAUUUUUUCGAUGAUUCUCAAUGGAAGAUCGGGGCGUUUUUGACCAAUUCUUUUGCAAAUAAAAAAAUUCCAAAGAAGAAGAUCAAUUUUGGGUUGAACCAACAACCUGAUUGUGUGGUUAUUCUGAAUGCAGAUAGAAAGUCUUCGGUCAUACUGGAAGCUGAUCGAUCACAAAUACCUAUUCCAUCCUUAGUUGAUUCUACGAUCCCAUGGGAAUCCUAUAAAAGAAUCACUUAUCCCAUCCCAGCGAAUGAUCCCAGCGAAUGA